This 1758-nucleotide long non-coding RNA is filed under the name Capsicum annuum. Its description in RNAcentral is "long non-coding RNA (CANN_LNC014695)". The record is from RNAcentral. Lineage: Eukaryota; Viridiplantae; Streptophyta; Magnoliopsida; Solanales; Solanaceae.
CGAAAAUUAUGUAAAGUGAAUUUUUUGGAAGAAUGAAUAUCAUAGUUUUCUAGUUAAGUUCUUGUAGAAUGUUCUAGUGUAGUGUCUUGAACAAGUAACUUGUAGAAUUAUCUAGAUAUUCUAGAGUAGCGGUAAAAGAUAAAGUUCACUAGAUUUUUCUUGUAGAAUUAUCUGAAAGAUUUUCUUGAACCAUCCAUGAACAAGUAUAAAUAGAGAUGGUCUUAUACAUUUGUAACCAACCAAAAAAAUAAAAACCAAUUCAAGUAGUAUUCUCCAUAUUUAAGUUCUUGCUUCUCUUUUAUAGCUUCCUCUUUUUAGUUGAAUCUUUCGAUCUUAGUUAAUGAUCUUUGGCUCACAGAAGAUCUCUCCAAUUACAUAUUUCUUUUGCUAUUUUCUAUAGAAAGGACCAAACACGACUGAGCUUUCUUCACUUUGGAUUUAUUAUAUCGGUCUCAAUCAUAUACUUUAGACUCCAAUGAUCAUGUAUACACUUGUAUGACCAAUAUGCCCAUCCAAAGGUUGCUCUUCCAUACACAUCUAACUGUGCUUUCUCGAAGUUCUGAUGAUGUUAGUUUGAUUUAGGCUCUUUUGCAAACUCGUUAACACAUUCUCCUGUAGUUCAUUUGAUAUAUUAUUAGAAGAACAUGGAAGUAUAAUAAUCUUUGCAUUAACGAUUCUUGAACUAAACUAUGGGACUCACCAACAAAGGUUAAGGGUUCAUUAGAUUGGGUAAUUUCUCCAAGUGUUGAUGCACGUUGGUUUUGUAUGUAGUCUAUGUCUUGUUGUACAUUAAAUUGUUUAAACUUGUCUGGGUAGAGAUUGUAGUAAUGGACGUCUAUGACUGAGCGAGGAAGGCAUUGAGAAAAUGAAAGCAGCUGUAUGUUCUUUGCAUAGCCCAAUCAAAUUCGAGAAGAUCACGUAGGCUGUACUAGGAUACUUCCUCACUAUAUUGUAACCAGCUUGGUAGUACUUGUAACUUGAUUAGAUUAUUCAAUGGAACAUGUUCUGCUCGAGGCUCAUUCAUCGGUUCCAUGGCUACAAGGCCUGUCCUAUUAGCAUACUUGAAAUUUUAUUUGUCAAUCGACUGUUAUUUGGCUAACUAAUUUUGAUUUUAAAAUUUUCUCAAAAUGUAUAUCGAUGGUUUUUUUAUAAACUUUUCGUUAAGAAGUCUUAUGACUUUAACUGUUUCUUUAAUUUUGGAAUCUCCCCACUCGGCAGAUCCAUCUCUAGUUCCGCUAUGGUCAUUCUCAUUUUGUGAUCCUGGAACUUCAUGAAGGUCUAUUAUGACCUUUAUAUUGCAUUUCUUGCAAGAUGUUUUUUUAAUAAAUUUAGAGCUUUGCAUGUUUAGCAGAAACGAUACCUAAUGACCUUGAAAUAGGCGAUCUUGAAUUUUUGACUCCCACUUGUCCGACUAGAGGUGAUUGCUCAAUGAUAAGCACCCUCCGCCUCCAACCUUAAGAUUGUGGGUUUAAAUCAACAAGGGAGCAAAAAGGUGGGAUCCUUCUAUGUGUAGAGAAUAGCAAAAGAAAGGUGUAAUUGGGGAAACCUUCUACUAGCCCAAAAUCGUUAACUAAGAUUAGAAGAUUCAACUAAAGAAGAGGAAAGUAUGAAAGAGAAGUUUUGUUAUGGAAGAAGAUUACUUGUAUUUGCUUUGUAUUGAAUUUGUUUUUGGUUGGUUACAAAUGUACAAGACCAUCCCUAUUUAUACUAAUCUAUGGAUGAUUCUAGAAAUUCUUCUAGAUACAUCUACAAGAAUAU